RNAcentral lists this ribosomal RNA (497 nucleotides) under uncultured bacterium. Its description in RNAcentral is "partial 16S ribosomal RNA". It matches the Rfam family "Bacterial small subunit ribosomal RNA", at positions 28 to 507 of the family's 1533-position model. The record is from RNAcentral.
GAUGAACGCUGGCGGCGUGCCUAAUACAUGCAAGUCGAGCGAACGGACGAGAAGCUUGCUUCUCUGAUGUUAGCGGCGGACGGGAGUGUAACACGUGUAUAACCUACCUAUAAGACUGGGAUAACUUCGGGAAACCGGAGCUAAUACCGGAUAAUCUUCUGAACCGCAGGGUUCAAUAGUGAGAGACGGUGGUGCUGUCACUUAUCGAUGCAUCCGCGCUGCUUUAGCUAGUUGGUAAGGUAACGGCCUACCAAGGCAACGAUGCAUAGACGAACUGUGAGGGGGAUAGGCCACCUUAGAGCGUAGACACGGUCCAGGCGACUACGGGACGCAGCAGUAGGGUAUCGUACGCAAUAGGCGAGAGCCUGACAGAGCAGCGCCGCGUGAGUGGCAGAGGUCCCCGGAUCGUAAUACUCGGUUAUGAGGGAUGAACCUAUGUGUAAGUAACUGUGCACAGCUUGACGGUACCUAAUCAGAAAGCCACGGCUAACUACGUG